RNAcentral lists this long non-coding RNA (345 nucleotides) under Populus trichocarpa (black cottonwood). RNAcentral describes it as "long non-coding RNA (PTRI_LNC001639)". The record is from RNAcentral. Lineage: Eukaryota; Viridiplantae; Streptophyta; Magnoliopsida; Malpighiales; Salicaceae.
UAGAAGAUAAACUCAUCAAGGCCGGGGUCUCCUCACACCGAAAGCCGGCCUGCUUGCUCUGUGGGUUUGGCCAAAGAGAGAGACAUACAUGGGGUGGUGACCUUGGUUGAAGGAUCAAUUCUGGGUGAAAGAACAGCCUGUUGGCUGCUGCUGGUUCAUGAUAUUGCAUGGUGGGACUUGACUGCUUGGUACUCUCCACAUGUAUAUUUCUUGAUAGCUCCUUUUCCUCCCUCAUUGCUUUCACUCUUUGUAAUUGCCUAAAUCUCUCUUGCAAUAAAGCGAUAGAGGAUUGAAUGACAAUAGGAUCAGUAUUUUCCUUGCCCAUUUGAGAAGAAAGAUUGUUUU